This is a non-coding RNA of Labrus bergylta (ballan wrasse), 1760 nucleotides long. Lineage: Eukaryota; Metazoa; Chordata; Actinopteri; Labriformes; Labridae. The record is from RefSeq and is a predicted model, not a curated record.
CUCCCUGACAGCAGCAUCUCCGCUCUGUCGCUCUGUCAGUCUGUCAGCAGUGACUCUGAAUCGGUCAGCCUGGCUGCAUUCACAGUCUGCGCGCAAAGUGGAUACUCACCGAGAAAGAGUCGGACAGACUUCGACUCAAAAGUAACAACUUCGCAAACAACGUGGUGACGUAACUUGAUGGCGGUUUCCAGUUUCAGAAAUUGUUAUCAGCGAGUUUCAAAGGUGGGACACGGUCGGAGAAGAGGAAACAAGUGCGAGGACAUCAGACAUCAGACGUAACAAGAGGAUUUGUGGGCUGUUGACGUGACCAGCUUCUAACAAGUUUCGGGCCUCGGCUUCUCCUCGGAGAUGUAAUGAGUCUGGAGUUUUCUAUUCAGUCAGCCAUGGAGCACGAGCUGAGGAUGGGCCUCUCUAUCUGGGCCAUUAUCGCAAUUGUUUGUAACUCAGUGGUUGGCAUCCUCAUCCUCAUUCUGUUUGUCAUACUCUACAAGGCUUGCAAGGUGCCUUCACAUCCAGAGAAAAUUCCAGUUUUCACUGCAGAGCCAGAGCAGAAGAAGGCUGAACAAAAGUACCUGCUGACUACAGCAUGACUAUGGAUAUGUUGGCAGAAUGCAACCCUUUUUGAUACAGCAGAUGUCAAAAGCCUUGUUACAGAGUACAAGAAUACCUGCUGGACUAUCAACUUUGAAUGGUGAUCUGGAUUUAUCUUCUUCUUUAGCCACAGGUGACAUUAUUUCUACCCAGAAACUCCAUUGGCUCCUCAUCUCUGCCAUUUGUAGCACCUCAGAGUGAGCUAACUGCAUUAAGAGUUAUGGCAAGACCCACAACAACAACAACAAGUAGCAGGCUCAAUCCUCUUAUCUCUUCUGUGUGUCUAUGGGACUGCCCAUCUGUCAGUAUGUUUGUUUUGCAAUACACAGACGGACCAUGAUCUCCUCUUCUACUCCUCAAGUGCUUCUCCUCCUUCUUUGUGAGAAAACUAAGGGGAUGUGGGGGAGAAAAGGCAAGCUAGCCAUUGAUUGUAUAGGGAGGGUUUGUGGAGAUGGGGUAGGCUGAACGGCAGGUUAACCUGUCAGAGGUAAAAAUGAAAUGUAUCCCCCGUAGCGUACAAGCAGCUUCAGCACUAAUGAUGGCACUGACAGAGCUGCAAAACUGGCAACAGGUAGAAACAAAGAGCCUGGAAGAGGCAGGAAGAAGAAAAAGUACGAGAGUCAAGAAGAUAGACUCUUAAAGAGACAGAUGGACACAAGGGGCAGAUAUUUUGUUGGGUGAUUAAGUGAAGGUUUAAAAAACAGAGCAGAAACACUGUUUUUUUCCAGCAAGCCUGAGUCCUCUGACAGUGUCCCUAUUUCAUCCCAUGCCUCUGCUUGCCCUGGGAUUAAAGCAACAGUAAAAAUGUUACUGGUGUCCCUGCGUGCCUCUCUGCCAUUUGAAUGAGGCUGAAUGAGAUAUUUAUAGAAAGCCUUCACUAGAAGUGACUCAGUGAGUCUGUGUCUCACUGUGACGAGUCAGUCAUGAGUUAAUUGUAGAGAAUAUUCUGCAACUAACAUGCUAAAAAGGCAGCUAACAUGCUAACAAAAGACAUAAAUACUGUCUAACAGUUUUUUUUAUUUGAUUUCCUAUGCAGUACUUUCUGUUCAUAAUCAUUUAUGGAAUAUUUCUGUAAAACUUGAAUGUAAUAAUAAACUGUUACCUGCGCUGAAAUUACUUUACUAGUUUACUAGUAAACUAAAAGGUCAAAUAAAGUCAGUUAAAGACAG